This 422-nucleotide ribosomal RNA is filed under the name uncultured bacterium. RNAcentral describes it as "bacterial SSU rRNA". It matches the Rfam family "Bacterial small subunit ribosomal RNA", at positions 355 to 774 of the family's 1533-position model. The record is from RNAcentral.
UGAGGAAUGUUGGACAAUGGGCGCAAGCCUGAUCCAGCCAUGCCGCGUGCAGGAAGAAGCAUCUAUGGUGUGUAAACUGCUCUUGUACGGGACGAAACGCUCCUUCGUGAAGGUGCUUGACGGUACCGUAAGAAUAAGGAUCGGCUAACUCCGUGCCAGCAGCCGCGGUAAUACGGAGGAUCCAAGCGUUAUCCGGAAUCAUUGGGUUUAAAGGGUCCGUAGGCGGUUUAGUAAGUCAGUGGUGAAAGCCCAUCGCUCAACGAUGGAACGGCCAUUGAUACUGCUAGACUUGAAUUACAAAGAAGUAACUAGAAUUUGUAGUGUAGCGGUGAAAUGCUUAGAUAUUACAUGGAAUACCAGUUGCGAAGGCAGGUUACUAGUUGUGGAUUGACGCUGAUGGACGAAAGCGUGGGGAGCAAACA